RNAcentral lists this ribosomal RNA (472 nucleotides) under uncultured bacterium. Its description in RNAcentral is "SSU rRNA". It matches the Rfam family "Bacterial small subunit ribosomal RNA", at positions 26 to 518 of the family's 1533-position model. The record is from RNAcentral.
AGGAUAAACGCUGGCGGCGUGCAUGAGACAUGCAAGUCGAACGGACACUCGGGGCUUGCUCCGAGUGUUAGUGGCGGACGGCUGAGUAACGCGUAGGUGACCUGCCCCGAAGUGGGGAAUAACUGCCCGAAAGGGUGGCUAAUACCGCAUGUGGUGGAACGUUCAUUCGUUCCAGUAAAGCCGCAAGGCGCUUCGGGAGGGGCCUGCGUCCGAUUAGCUCGUUGGUGGGGUAACGGCUCACCAAGGCGACGAUCGGUAGGUGGUCUGAGAGGACGAUCACCCAGACUGGGACUGAGACACGGCCCAGACUCCUACGGGAGGCAGCAGUCGGGAAUUUUGCGCAAUGGACGAAAGUCUGACGCAGCAACGCCGCGUGAGGGAUGAAGGCCUCGGGUUGUAAACCUCUUUUAUCAGGGAAGAUAAUGACGGUACCUGAUGAAUAAGUCACGGCUAACUCUGUGCCAGCAGCCGC